RNA transcript from Sapajus apella (tufted capuchin), 1795 nucleotides. It is a transcript of the gene named solute carrier family 25 member 48, with no coding region annotated. The record is from RefSeq and is a predicted model, not a curated record. Lineage: Eukaryota; Metazoa; Chordata; Mammalia; Primates; Cebidae. The transcript has 9 exons.
UAACCCGGAGAAGGGAGGACUGAGAGAAUUCCACUCAAUGACCCUUGCUUCUGGGAUGAGCCUCGCGGAGCGCACCCUUAUCCGCGCGGAGUGCUGUGCCUUUAAGGUCCACUGGGGGCGUGAUGUCAGCCGCCCUCCGGCACUUGGAGAGGUGAGCGCGGCAGCGGGCUCAGCCGGUGUCUCAGGGACUGGGUUUGGAGUAGGACCUGCGGUGCGCUCCGAGACUCCGACUUUCGUUUUGAGGCGCGCUCGCGCCCACGGGCCAUGCCUCACUGACGCUAAGUGGGCACUGUCCCGGCUCCGGGAGAGCGAGACGCCGCGCGCCACCGGCCAUGGGCAGCUUCCAGCUGGAAGACUUUGCGGCGGGCUGGAUCGGUGGUGCAGCCAGCGUCAUCGUCGGCCACCCUCUGGACACAGUCAAGACUCGCCUGCAGGCUGGCGUCGGCUACGGGAAUACCCUCAGCUGCAUCCGCACAGUGUACAGGAGGGAGAGCGUGUUCGGCUUCUUUAAGGGCAUGUCCUUCCCGCUUGCCAGCAUUGCUGUCUACAACUCUGUGGUAUUUGGGGUCUUCAGUAACACGCAGCGGUUCCUCAGCCAGCACCGCUGCCGGGAGCCCGAGGCCAGUCCUCCCCGCACACUGUCGGACCUGCUUCUGGCCAGCAUGGUGGCCGGCGUGGUCUCUGUCGGGCUGGGCGGGCCCGUGGACCUCAUCAAGAUCCGGCUGCAGAUGCAGACACAACCAUUUCGUGACGCCAACCUCAGUUUGAAGUCCAGGGCGGCGGCUCUUGGGGAGCAGCUAGUGUACCAGGGGCCCGUGCACUGCAUUGCAACCAUCGUGAGGAAUGAGGGCCUGGCGGGGCUGUACCGGGGGGCCAGUGCCAUGCUGCUGAGGGACGUCCCGGGCUAUUGCCUCUACUUCAUCCCCUACGUGUUCCUGAGUGAGUGGAUCACACCCGAGGCUUGUGCAGGCCCCAGCCCCUGUGCCGUGUGGCUGGCAGGUGGUGUAGCAGGAGCAAUUUCUUGGGGGACAGCGACUCCUAUGGAUGUUGUGAAAAGUCGACUUCAAGCUGAUGGGGUUUAUUUAAACAAAUAUAAAGGUGUCCUGGACUGUAUCUCCCAGAGUUACCAGAAGGAAGGUCUUAAAGUGUUUUUCAGAGGCAUCACUGUGAACGCGGUGCGGGGCUUCCCCAUGAGCGCGGCCAUGUUCCUUGGGUACGAGCUGUCACUGCAGGCUAUCCGCGGGGACCACACCGUGACGAGCCCAUGAGCGCCAGGUCUUUGCUCAGGCUGGUCCCUCUGCCUGACAUCCUCUUCUCGCUCCUUCCCCGCUUGUUCUUGGCUUCACCAGCUCUUUGUCACCCAGGCUGUAGAAGUCUCCUCCUCCAGGAUGCCGGCUUGCUUUCUCAGCUGGGGGCUUCAUUCCAUUAACAGGUCAAUGCAAAAGUGUCUGCAGAACCCAUGGUGUGAUUUACGGAAGAGAAAGAUGGACUUCCCACCAGGUGGGCUUUCAGCCAAGCACGCUGUCCUCAGAACCCCUUCUUCCUUCCUUCACAAGCACUCUGAUCCUCACCCUGGCUGGGGCAGUGGAGCUCUAGCCUUGGAGGGAUGCAACUGACCAUUGGUCAACUGAUCAACUAUUUUGGUUUUGGAUUUGCACCGGGUAACAACAGACCAGAACAAAACAAAACUAGAUUAAAUUGGCUCUGCCCCCAUGGCUGUUGUAAACUCACUGGGAAUUCACGGAAGAGCUGGAGUUGGCUCUAAGUUUCCAAAUAAAAGCAUUAAAAACCUCUU